Long non-coding RNA from Gallus gallus (chicken), 1380 nucleotides. RefSeq lists it as uncharacterized. The transcript is spliced from 3 exons. Lineage: Eukaryota; Metazoa; Chordata; Aves; Galliformes; Phasianidae. The record is from RefSeq and is a predicted model, not a curated record.
CUGAUAAAUGGUAAUCAGGUUGUCCCUCCAUUUUAUUAAGUGCAGGUCUAUACAGGCAAGCAGAGACAAAGCGCUGCUCAUUUUGUGUGCUGCAAGCCAGUGUGACGCAGGGCUGUUCUAGAACAAUAAAAAACAUUGCUGUUAGUGUGACCUUGCAUCUGUGCUCAGGAACAGCGUGCUCCGGACUUGAGUGCUUUCCUACAUCGCUGUGAUACAAUGGGAAGAAUUGCUCGUUUCUUCUGCUGUUUUCUCUCUCCUCCUUUCACUUACAGAUCCUUGCUCGGUUUAUUUGCUGCUAUGGUGCAUGGCCCUGGCAUAGCAGCAGGGUAACUCUAUCCCCCUGUUCUCAACUAGAGACCCGCAGAGCAAUGAGAUGCAGUAUUUGUCUCAACCACGGCCAAAGACCUGUCCCUACCUGCAGGCUGUCACUCUGCUUUCACAUCAUGGUCUAGUGGCUUGGCUGCAAGCUUUCUCUUCCUUUCCACAACAUUUUCCUCUCUUGUGCUAUUAACCAGACCUCCGGCCUAUAAAUUGGUUUUCCUAAUCUCCUUACACAUGCUCAGAAUCCUAUGGAAGCCAAAAUGUAGUCUAAUGGUUUUAACCACAUGCAUAAUCGGUAGGAUCAGAAUGUACUGGUUUUAAGCUAAGCCUUCUGUAUCAGCCAUUCGGGUUCCCAUUAUCUCUUGUCUGAUUUUCUUUCUAGAACCCACAUCAUACCAAACUGACCAGAAAGUAACAUCGUUCAGUGGACUUUUCUGUUUUGUGUACAAUUCUCUUGAAUACAGUCUCUUCCAAGACUCUUGCAGAGCCACACUGAGAAGUGCUGCUCUCCUCCUUCUGAAGCAUCUGAGAAAUUCACAUUCACUGCUGCUCUGUUUAGCACGCCGUGUGUGGUCAUUAUCCAAGCAAUGCUGUUUCUACCUUUGCUGUGACGGAUGCACUUAGGGGACAGCUGAGAUAAUGUCAGGAGUGUUUGGAGCACCCAGGACAUGAGGUGCCUGGGGCUUUGCUGACCGCUGCCUUUGGUGUGAAGCCAGGUCCCCUGGCACUGCCUGCACAGCCGGUCUUUCAGGUGCCCCAUGCAGCAGGGUGAGCAGAAGGAUCCUCUUAAUGAGCACACUGCAGUGAACACUUGGUUCCUAAUCCACAGGAUUGCGACAACAAAAAGAAGUAAUGCUUGCAGAAAUGGUACAGUGCAGAAGAAAAGGGGUGGCACAGCUGUUGGAACUGUCUGGUGGCUGCAGAGAGGAAUUCCAUCUCUGGAGCUGGCAAUCUGGAAGGCUGAAUUCCCCCACAUAAGGAAUCUGCUCCAGUAAGGCACAUCCCAACCGUGGAUGCAGUUUAUUUCAAUCUCCACUAAAUCUUAUGCAAAUGAAUAAA